AAGAACAGAAAUAACUCCAAAGAAUGGGCCAAUAGAUCCUGAAGAACUCCAAGCACUAUUGCUACUAGUUGAAACAGCCUGUGGAAUAUUACUAGGUUGUAUCUCCCCAGCGGCAGGCGGUUGCUGGCCAGGCAACGAUGUAACGACGGCGGAUGCCAUGAAGAAGAAGAAGAAGAGUUUGUUGUAAUUAAAAUGUCCUGACCAAAAUGAAUAUGAACAUAAG
This 223-nucleotide unclassified non-coding RNA is filed under the name Hevea brasiliensis (rubber tree). Lineage: Eukaryota; Viridiplantae; Streptophyta; Magnoliopsida; Malpighiales; Euphorbiaceae. The record is from RNAcentral.